Molecule: transfer RNA, 106 nt
Organism: Oryctolagus cuniculus (rabbit)
Lineage: Eukaryota; Metazoa; Chordata; Mammalia; Lagomorpha; Leporidae
Rfam family: tRNA
About the family: Transfer RNA (tRNA) molecules are approximately 80 nucleotides in length.
Source: Rfam
GUCAGGAUGGCCGAGUGGUCUAAGGCGCCAGACUCAAGCUCCGCUUCCUCGGCAUGAGGAUUCUGGUCUCCGAAUGGAGGCGUGGGUUCGAAUCCCACUUCUGACA